GAUGAACGCUGGCGGCGUGCCUAAUACAUGCAAGCCGAGCGAACAGACGAGGAGCUUGCUCCUCUGACGUUAGCGGCGGACGGGUGAGUAACACGUGGAUAACCUACCUAUAAGACUGGGAUAACUUCGGGAAACCGGAGCUAAUACCGGAUAAUAUAUUGAACCGCAUGGUUCAAUAGUGAAAGACGGUUUUGCUGUCACUUAUAGAUGGAUCCGCGCCGCAUUAGCUAGUUGGUAAGGUAACGGCUUACCAAGGCGACGAUGCGUAGCCGACCUGAGAGGGUGAUCGGCCACACUGGAACUGAGACACGGUCCAGACUCCUACGGGAGGCAGCAGUAGGGAAUCUUCCGCAAUGGGCGAAAGCCUGACGGAGCAACGCCGCGUGAGUGAUGAAGGUCCUCGGAUCGUAAAACUCUGUUAUUAGGGAAGAACAAAUGUGUAAGUAACUAUGCACGUCUUGACGGUACCUAAUCAGAAAGCCACGGCUAACUACGUG
RNAcentral lists this ribosomal RNA (497 nucleotides) under uncultured bacterium. Its description in RNAcentral is "partial 16S ribosomal RNA". It matches the Rfam family "Bacterial small subunit ribosomal RNA", at positions 28 to 507 of the family's 1533-position model. The record is from RNAcentral.